CAGGAUGAACGCUGGCGGUAUGCUUUACACAUGCAAGCCGUACGGAAGUGUUAAAACUUUAGUGGCGGACGGGUGAGUAACACGUGAGAAUUUACCUUUAGGUGGGGAAUAACAGUUGGAAACGAUUGCUAAUGCCGCAUAUCAUAAAUAUGAAAGAAGAAAUUCGCCUAAAGAAAAGCUUGCGUCUGAUUAGCUAGUUGGUAAGGGUAAAGGCCUACCAAGGCGACGAUCAGUAGCUGGUUUGAGAGGAUGACCAGUCACACUGGAACUGAGACACGGUCCAGACUCCUACGGGAGGCAGCAGUGGGGAAUUUUCUGCAAUGGGCGAAAGCCUGACAGAGCAAUACCGCGUGAGGGAAGAAAGCCCACAGGGUUGUAAACCUCUUUUGUCAAGGAAGAAGUUCUGACGUUACUUGACGAAUAAGCAUCGGCUAACUCCGUGCCAGCAGCCGCGGUAAGACGGGGGAUGCAAGUGUUAUCCGGAAUCACUGGGCGUAAAGCGUUUGUAGGUGGUUUAGUAAGUCUAUUGUUAAAUCUUGAAGCUCAACUUCAAAACUGUAAUAGAAACUAUUAGACUCGAGGAUAGUAGGGGUAAAGGGAAUUUCCAGUGGAGCGGUGAAAUGCGUAGAGAUUGGAAGGACCACCGAUGGCGAAGGCACUUUACUGGGCUAUAUCUGACACUAAGAGACGAAAGCUAGGGUAGCGAAUGGGAUUAGAUACCCCAGUAGUCCUAGCCGUAAACGAUGGAUACUAGAUGUUGCGUGUAUCGAUCCAUGCAGUA
RNAcentral lists this ribosomal RNA (781 nucleotides) under uncultured bacterium. RNAcentral's name for it is "bacterial SSU rRNA". It matches the Rfam family "Bacterial small subunit ribosomal RNA", at positions 25 to 845 of the family's 1533-position model. The record is from RNAcentral.